This 460-nucleotide ribosomal RNA is filed under the name uncultured bacterium. Its description in RNAcentral is "partial 16S ribosomal RNA". It matches the Rfam family "Bacterial small subunit ribosomal RNA", at positions 338 to 795 of the family's 1533-position model. The record is from RNAcentral.
CCUACGGGAGGCAGCAGUGAGGAAUAUUGGUCAAUGGGCUGACGCCUGAACCAGCCAAGUCGCGUGAGGGAAGACUGCCCUAUGGGUUGUAAACCUCUUUUGUCAGGGAGCAACGCCGGCUACGUGUAGCCGGACUGAGAGUACCUGAAGAAAAAGCAGCGGCUAACUCCGUGCCAGCAGCCGCGGUAAUACGGAGGAUGCGAGCGUUAUCCGGAUUUAUGGGGUUUAAAGGGUGCGUAGGCGGAAUGCCAAGUCAGCGGUAAAAUCGCGGGGCUCAACCUCGCUCCGCCGUUGAAACUGGCGUUCUUGAGUGGGCGAGAAGUAUGCGGAAUGCGUGGUGUAGCGGUGAAAUGCAUAGAUAUCACGCAGAACUCCGAUUGCGAAGGCAGCAUACCGGCGCCCAACUGACGCUGAAGCACGAAAGCGUGGGUAUCGAACAGGAUUAGAUACCCCUGUAGUC